This 253-nucleotide ribosomal RNA is filed under the name uncultured bacterium. Its description in RNAcentral is "partial 16S ribosomal RNA". It matches the Rfam family "Bacterial small subunit ribosomal RNA", at positions 524 to 776 of the family's 1533-position model. The record is from RNAcentral.
UACGGGGGGGGCAAGCGUUGUUCGGAAUUACUGGGCGUAAAGGGCUCGUAGGCGGCCAACUAAGUCAGACGUGAAAUCCCUCAGCUUAACUGGGGAACUGCGUCUGAUACUGGAUGGCUUGAGUUUGGGAGAGGGAUGCGGAAUUCCAGGUGUAGCGGUGAAAUGCGCAGAUAUCAGGAGGAACACCGGUGGCGAAGGCGGUGGUCUGGGCCGGCACUGACGCUGAGGAGCGAAAGCGUGGGGAGCAAACAGG